This 440-nucleotide ribosomal RNA is filed under the name uncultured bacterium. RNAcentral describes it as "partial 16S ribosomal RNA". It matches the Rfam family "Bacterial small subunit ribosomal RNA", at positions 338 to 795 of the family's 1533-position model. The record is from RNAcentral.
CCUACGGGAGGCAGCAGUGGGGAAUAUUGCACCAUGGGCGAAAGCCUGAUGCAGCAACGCCGCGUGAGCGAUGAAGGCCUUCGGGUCGUAAAGCUCUGUCCUCAAGGAAGAAAAUGACGGUACCUGACGAGGAAGCUCCGGCUAACUACGUGCCAGCAGCCGCGGUAAUACGUAGGGAGCAAGCGUUAUCCGGAUUUACUGGGUGUAAAGGGGGCCUAGGCGGUAUUUUAAGUCAGAUGUGAAAGGCCAGGGGUCAACCCUUGGACGGCAUUGGAAACUGUGUAACUGGAGUGCAGGAGAGGAGAGUGGAAUUCCUAGUGUAGCGGUGAAAUGCGUAGAUAUUAGGAGGAACACCAGUUGCGAAGGCGGCUUUCUGGACUGUAACUGACACUGAGGCUCGAAAGCGUGGGGAGCAAACAGGAUUAGAUACCCGAGUAGUC